UAGAAAAAGAAAGAAAAGAAAAAAAACCCUGACCCUAUUUGUUUUUAGCAGGAGUCAGAUCGACCAUCUCUUCCCCUGCCUGAGAAACUUCAAGCUGCACUGGCUUUCAGGGAAUUAGAAGGAUGCCAGGAUCAGUGUUUCAGGUGGGCUGAUGGUACGUAAUGACUCAACAUUCUUCCUUCUUAGUUGUUGAGGUCACAAGACGCCAGCAUGUCGCCACAACAGAUCAGUUAGCUCAGCGAUCCCCAACCUUUUUUGCGCCACAGACCGGUUUACGUCCGAUAAUAUUUUCACGGACCGGCCUUUAAGGUGUCAGGGAUAAAAACAACAAAAUAAAACCAGUACUAGUACAAAAGAAAGAAGACUUAUUUAUAGCACAUGGGAAAAGGCCCAGGGAAACAGAGUUAACGGCAAAAACGAUUAAAAAAAAUGACGAUAAAAACCCUGAAAAUCACACCCAAGCCUCAACUCUCGUGGCUCGGUACCAAACGACUCAUUGACUGGUACCGGUCUGUGGCCCGGGGGUUGGGGACCGCUGACUCAGCUGACUUUCCAACAAACAUGGUUGACAUCAUAUUGAUUGGCCCGAUAUUGAUGUUGUAUCCACAAACACAUCCAGCAAGAAAUAUUUCUCACAGUAUUGCAAUAAAGGAAACGUGUUUUUUAAAUACAUUUGAUUAACAAGAAAUUUACUAACUGAAAGGUUGUGAACAGCCACACAACAUCCACCUCUCUUACACAGAGUAGUAUUACAAGAUUUUAUAGGGUUAUUUUUGUUGUUUUAAUCUAAAACACUAUAUUCUGCCACAGGAUCUUUACCCUACAAUAUAAAGCACCGUGAGUUGACUGUUGUGAUUUGGUGCUAUGUAAAUAAAACUGAAUUGAAUUGCCUCUCUGGACACAUAUCUAAUCAGUGUUGGUCAGUUCACUUGGUGAGAUAAGAAAUAGACUUCAGAGACAGAAGUCACUGUUCGAGUCUCCCUUGCAGCAGCUCUGGGUCCCAUUCUGAAACUUGUAUGAUUAAACCCUUUGGUUUUCUUAGAAGCCAGUGCCUCAUAGUCACAGUAACAUGAUCGAUCACUGUGUGUGUAAACAAUACUUCAUUUUAUAUAGACUAGUUGACUAAACAGAGGAAUUGGGGACCUUAAAGAUUAAAUAGUUGAAUUCUCUAAACAUUAGGGAAAGGUGCUUCCAUGUUUCCUUUGCUACAGGAUACACUUGAGCGCCACUUGUAAGAUAAGCCACAAUUCAAUGUGACGCACCAUUUGACCAUUUAUGGAAAUAAACCAGUGACGAUUGACGCAAAUCAUGUAAAUUACUGGUGAGUUUUGCAUCUUGUUGUGCAACUUGCUAACAUGUAAAUACAUUUUGAACUUUAACGUAUUUGUGUAAACCUACAGUAUAUGUGAACAACAAUGCAGCAUUGCUUCAUUUUAUUCUGCUUGUUAUGAAGUUGUUGCCUUGUGCAAAUCUCCUGAUGACAUUAGAAAAGUUCACUACAAAUAAAAAUACCGAGCUAUACUGAAGUGAAGCGAUGGUUCUAAUGCAACUUGGUUUGCAUUAGUUUUGUCUUUGUUUAUGAAUUUUCCUCCACCUUUUGUCCUGACCUCAUGCCCUUGUCUAUUGACGUAAAGGACAAGUGGUUAGGAAAAGAUCUGGAUGGCAAUGUUUUUGGCUGUUUCACUGCAACCUUUGAUGCCUUCUGCCAUUAUAGUGACUAACACAGCCUCAGGUUUCUAGUACUGAACAGAGACAAGCCCAUUUGCAACCAGAAGCAAAGUUGAUUCAAG
Astatotilapia calliptera (eastern happy) is the source of this 1790-nucleotide long non-coding RNA. The record is from Ensembl. NCBI's taxonomy places the organism in Eukaryota, Metazoa, Chordata, Actinopteri, Cichliformes, Cichlidae.